RNAcentral lists this ribosomal RNA (354 nucleotides) under bacterium LimB-1-A-278. Its description in RNAcentral is "bacterial SSU rRNA". It matches the Rfam family "Bacterial small subunit ribosomal RNA", at positions 289 to 635 of the family's 1533-position model. The record is from RNAcentral.
GACCUGAGAGGGUGAUCGGCCACACUGGAACUGAGACACGGUCCAGACUCCUACGGGAGGCAGCAGUAGGGAAUCUUCCGCAAUGGGCGAAAGCCUGACGGAGCAACGCCGCGUGAGUGAUGAAGGUCUUCGGAUCGUAAAACUCUGUUAUUAGGGAAGAACAAAUGUGUAAGUAACUGUGCACGUCUUGACGGUACCUAAUCAGAAAGCCACGGCUAACUACGUGCCAGCAGCCGCGGUAAUACGUAGGUGGCAAGCGUUAUCCGGAAUUAUUGGGCGUAAAGCGCGCGUAGGCGGUUUCUUAAGUCUGAUGUGAAAGCCCACGGCUCAACCGUGGAGGGUCAUUGGAAACUG